Long non-coding RNA from Bufo bufo (common toad), 340 nucleotides. RefSeq lists it as uncharacterized. Lineage: Eukaryota; Metazoa; Chordata; Amphibia; Anura; Bufonidae. The transcript is spliced from 3 exons. The record is from RefSeq and is a predicted model, not a curated record.
AGCAUUGACACCUCCAUUGACAUCUAGAGCUGCAUUCAAAAUUCUGCUGGGUUUCUGCAGCUCUCACUCCUGGUUCUUUGCCUACAUACUGUAUGGGAUUUUUUGAAGAUUUGGCGUUACACCAAGGACUGCAUCAACAAAGCGGUGACCUGCAUGAAAGUGAAUGCAGACAAGAGAAGAAGAAAACCGCCUCAGUUCUCAUCUGGAGAUAAGCAGUCCUUAAUCGCUUCUCGACGGCUCCUUCUACUCCAACUCCGGUAUCUGAAGAUUCUGACGAGACAUUUGAGGUCAAAGACAUCCUGUACAUCAAGAAGCGUGGCAGGAAGACCUACUAUCUUGU